UACGGAGGGAGCUAGCGUUGUUCGGAAUUACUGGGUGUAAAGCGCGCGUAGGCGGCUUUGUAAGUUAGAGGUGAAAGCCCGGAGCUCAACUCCGGAACUGCCUUUAAAACUGCAUCGCUUGAAUCCAGGAGAGGUGAGUGGAAUUCCGAGUGUAGAGGUGAAAUUCGUAGAUAUUCGGAAGAACACCAGUGGCGAAGGCGGCUCACUGGACUGGUAUUGACGCUGAGGUGCGAAAGCGUGGGGAGCAAACAGG
RNAcentral lists this ribosomal RNA (253 nucleotides) under uncultured bacterium. RNAcentral's name for it is "partial 16S ribosomal RNA". It matches the Rfam family "Bacterial small subunit ribosomal RNA", at positions 524 to 776 of the family's 1533-position model. The record is from RNAcentral.